Molecule: non-coding RNA, 237 nt
Organism: Pelobates cultripes (western spadefoot toad)
Lineage: Eukaryota; Metazoa; Chordata; Amphibia; Anura; Pelobatidae
Source: the annotation of a GenBank genome assembly
CUCUAAUUAUGAAUUGGAAUAUAACGUUACAUUAGUCCUAAUAUGAAAUGGAAGUUAGCAUUUUUCUCAGUAGUUGUAUCUAGCAAAAUCAAUGCCGCUUAGUUAUUUGCUAUUACAACAAAAGCACAAUACAUAACAGGAUUAGCUGGUAUUAGGAAUUUCUGCAUUCCUUAAUUAUUGCUUACAAAUUAUGUUGGGAUUUGGAUUAUCGCAUUACUUCACCCAUCAUUAUAAUGG